RNAcentral lists this ribosomal RNA (433 nucleotides) under uncultured bacterium. RNAcentral describes it as "partial 16S ribosomal RNA". It matches the Rfam family "Bacterial small subunit ribosomal RNA", at positions 29 to 507 of the family's 1533-position model. The record is from RNAcentral.
AACGAACGCUGGCGGCAGGCCUAACACAUGCAAGUCGAGCGAGGACUUCGGUUCUAGCGGCGGACGGGUGAGUAACGCGUGGGAAUGUGCCCUUCUCUACGGAAUAGCCCUGGGAAACUGGGAGUAAUACCGUAUACGCCCUAUUGGGGAAAGAUUUAUCGGAGAAGGAUCAGCCCGCGUUGGAUUAGGUAGUUGGUGGGGUAAUGGCCUACCAAGCCGACGAUCCAUAGCUGGUUUGAGAGGAUGAUCAGCCACACUGGGACUGAGACACGGCCCAGACUCCUACGGGAGGCAGCAGUGGGGAAUCUUAGACAAUGGGGGCAACCCUGAUCGAGCCAUGCCGCGUGAGUGAUGAAGGCCUUAGGGUUGUAAAGCUCUUUCAGCUGGGAAGAUAAUGACGGUACCAACAGAAGAAGCCCCGGCUAACUCCGUG